CACAGGUGGUCAGGUAGAGAAUACCAAGGCGCUUGAGAGAACUCGGGUGAAGGAACUAGGCAAAAUGGUGCCGUAACUUCGGGAGAAGGCACGCUGAUAGGUAGGUGAAGCCCCUGCGGGCGGAGCUGAAAUCAGUCGAAGAUACCAGCUGGCUGCAACUGUUUAUUAAAAACACAGCACUGUGCAAACACGAAAGUGGACGUAUACGGUGUGACGCCU
This 219-nucleotide ribosomal RNA is filed under the name Enterobacter cloacae. RNAcentral describes it as "partial 23S ribosomal RNA". It matches the Rfam family "Bacterial large subunit ribosomal RNA", at positions 1658 to 1860 of the family's 2925-position model. Lineage: Bacteria; Pseudomonadati; Pseudomonadota; Gammaproteobacteria; Enterobacterales; Enterobacteriaceae. The record is from RNAcentral.